Molecule: ribosomal RNA, 523 nt
Filed under: Calyptra thalictri (vampire moth)
Lineage: Eukaryota; Metazoa; Arthropoda; Insecta; Lepidoptera; Erebidae
Description: partial 28S ribosomal RNA
Source: RNAcentral
AGAGAUUAAUCRUCAUUCCGNGGNGUACGGACGCGCGCUKSGAUGUNRUSGGCUUSGGUSGGSGUGCACGACGCGCGUACGUCGACGUCCGCGGACGGCGUGCACUUCUCUCUUAGUAAAUACAUCGCGACCCGUUCGAYGUCGGUMUAAGCGCCGUUCGGGAGCCCCAUUGUGCCUUCACGGGUAUAGUGGGACCGCGACGGUGGCCGACCGGCCGUCGGACGGUAGUUCUGACGAAACGCGCACGCGUUUACAACGCGUCCGGCCCGACGCAAGUCAACGUCGUAUCUCACGUNACCGCCUCAGCGCGGACGCGGGUGCGGCGCGUCUGCGUAUCGCCGCCGUGCAGUCUCGGACUGUGCGUGUCUCGGUCUGCGAUGAUUCAGUUUCGGGCACUCGCAGGACCCGUCUUGAAACACGGACCAAGGAGUCUAGCAAGUCUGCGAGUCAUUGNGACAAUAAARUAGAAAGGCGCAASRAAAGCGAAGGCKCGCGCUANCCGCGCGCUCASGGAGGAUGCAGC